This 1343-nucleotide ribosomal RNA is filed under the name uncultured bacterium. Its description in RNAcentral is "bacterial SSU rRNA". It matches the Rfam family "Bacterial small subunit ribosomal RNA", at positions 28 to 1381 of the family's 1533-position model. The record is from RNAcentral.
GACGAACGCUGGCGGCGUGCCUAACACAUGCAAGUCGAACGGGGUGAGGCCCUUCGGGACCUUUACCUAGUGGCGAACGGGUGAGUAACGCGUGAGGAACCUGCCUUUCAGUGGGGGACAACAGUUGGAAACGACUGCUAAUACCGCAUGAAGCUUUUGGGAGACAUCUCCUGGAAGCCAAAGCUUAAUGUGCUGAAAGAUGGCCUCGCGUCUGAUUAGCUAGUUGGUGGGGUAACGGCCCACCAAGGCGACGAUCAGUAGCCGGUCUGAGAGGAUGAACGGCCACAUUGGGACUGAGAUACGGCCCAGACUCCUACGGGAGGCAGCAGUGGGGAAUAUUGGGCAAUGGGCGAAAGCCUGACCCAGCAACGCCGCGUGAAGGAAGAAGGCCUUCGGGUUGUAAACUUCUUUUACCAGGGACGAAGGACGUGACGGUACCUGGAGAAAAAGCAACGGCUAACUACGUGCCAGCAGCCGCGGUAAUACGUAGGUUGCAAGCGUUGUCCGGAUUUACUGGGUGUAAAGGGCGUGUAGGCGGAGAUGCAAGUUAGGAGUGAAAUCUAUGGGCUCAACCCAUAAACUGCUUCUAAAACUGUAUCCCUUGAGUAUCGGAGAGGCAAGCGGAAUUCCUAGUGUAGCGGUGAAAUGCGUAGAUAUUAGGAGGAACACCAGUGGCGAAGGCGGCUUGCUGGACGACAACUGACGCUGAGGCGCGAAAGCGUGGGGAGCAAACAGGAUUAGAUACCCUGGUAGUCCACGCUGUAAACGAUGAAUACUAGGUGUGGGGGGACUGACCCCCCUCCGUGCCGCAGUUAACACAAUAAGUAUUCCACCUGGGGAGUACGACCGCAAGGUUGAAACUCAAAGGAAUUGACGGGGGCCCGCACAAGCAGUGGAUUAUGUGGUUUAAUUCGACGCAACGCGAAGAACCUUACCAGGACUUGACAUCCAACUAACGAAGUAGAGAUACAUCAGGUGCCCUUCGGGGAAAGUUGAGACAGGUGGUGCAUGGUUGUCGUCAGCUCGUGUCGUGAGAUGUUGGGUUAAGUCCCGCAACGAGCGCAACCCCUAUUGUUAGUUGCUACGAAAGAGCACUCUAGCGAGACUGCCGUUGACAAAACGGAGGAAGGCGGGGACGACGUCAAAUCAUCAUGCCCCUUAUGUCCUGGGCUACACACGUAAUACAAUGGUGGCCAACAGAGGGAAGCGAAGCCGUGAGGCAGAGCAAAAUCCCUAAAAGCCAAUCUCAGUUCGGAUUGCAGGCUGCAAACUCGCCUGCAUGAAAGCUGGAAUUGCUAGUAAUCGCGGAUCAGCAUGCCGCGGUAAUUACGUUUCCCGGGCCU